GGUCUGGGCGAGGCUGAGUCAUGUUGGCUGAGUCGAGCCUGGGCCUGGCGAGGGGGGAGAAGUCGUAACAAGGUGGCCGCACGGGAACGUGCGGCCGGAUCACCUCCUACCG
Molecule: ribosomal RNA, 112 nt
Filed under: Nitrososphaeria archaeon
Lineage: Archaea; Thermoproteati; Nitrososphaerota; Nitrososphaeria
Description: partial 16S ribosomal RNA
Rfam family: Archaeal small subunit ribosomal RNA
Source: RNAcentral